UUGGAAGUAAAAGUCGUAACAAGGUCUCCGUUGGUGAACCAGCGNNGGGAUCAUUACCGAGUUUACAACUCCCAAACCCAAUGUGAACGUUACCAAACUGUUGCCUCGGCGGGAUCUCUGCCCCGGGUGCGUCGCAGCCCCGGACCAAGGCGCCCGCCGGAGGACCAACCUAAAACUCUUAUUGUAUACCCCCUCGCGGGUUUUUUUAUAAUCUGAGCCUUCUCGGCGCCUCUCGUAGGCGUUUCGAAAAUGAAUCAAAACUUUCAACAACGGAUCUCUUGGUUCUGGCAUCGAUGAAGAACGCAGCGAAAUGCGAUAAGUAAUGUGAAUUGCAGAAUUCAGUGAAUCAUCGAAUCUUUGAACGCACAUUGCGCCCGCCAGUAUUCUGGCGGGCAUGCCUGUCCGAGCGUCAUUUCAACCCUCGAACCCCUCCGGGGGGUCGGCGUUGGGGAUCGGCCCUCCCUUAGCGGGUGGCCGUCUCCGAAAUACAGUGGCGGUCUCGCCGCAGCCUCUCCUGCGCAGUAGUUUGCACACUCGCAUCGGGAGCGCGGCGCGUCCACAGCCGUUAAACACCCAACUUCUGAAAUGUUGACCUCGGAUCAGGUAGGAAUACCCGCUGAACUUNNNCAUAUCAAUAAGCGGGA
Molecule: ribosomal RNA, 644 nt
Filed under: fungal sp. ARIZ B131
Lineage: Eukaryota; Fungi
Description: eukaryotic LSU rRNA
Rfam family: 5.8S ribosomal RNA (bases 259-412)
Source: RNAcentral